CUCCCAUGAACUUUUGGAUGUACCUUAUUUCUGCAACCUGAAAUGCUUCUUCAAAUUCCAGAUAGCUCUACUAGGAUGCUCAAUAGACAUCUCAAACGUUAUGUCCAGAAAUGAACUUAUGAUCCUCCAGAAUUCUGUGCCAUCCAGUCUUUUCCAUUUCAAUAAAUCCAUUCUUCUAAGUGCCCUGGACCAAAACUUGGGAGUAAUCAAUGACUCCUCUCUUUCCUCUUCUUACCAACUCCCAUACAUCAGUAAAUUCUGCCAUUUCUACAUUCACAAGCAGACUUGCCUACAUAAUUUGUGAGGACUAGUGCAAAAUGAAAACAUGGGACUCUGUGGGGCCCGCGCGGUGGCGCACUAGGUUGGUCCUCCACCUGUGGCGCUGGCAUCCCAUAUGGGCACCCGGGUGCUCCUCUUCCAGUCCAGCUCUCUGCUGUGGCCCAAGAAGGCAGUGGAGGAUGGCCCAAGUGCUUGGACCCCUGCACUCGCAUGGGAGACCAAGGAAGGAAUGCUCCUGGCUCCUGGCUUCGGAUCAGCAUAACUCCGGCCGUGGUGGCCAUUUGGGGAGUGAACCAAUGGAAGGAAGACCUCUCUCUCUCUCUCUCUUUCUCUCUCUCCCUCUCUUACUGUAACUCUACCUAUCAAAUAAACAAAUAAAAAUCUUAAAAAAAGAAAACAUGGGACUCUGCUUUAAACUUAUUAAGAAUUUCAAGACUGUGGCAACAGAGCAUGAAACUAUGGGCUGACCCCUGUGUAACUGCCUGGGACACCCUCCCACGCAAUUUUUCCACACCAUGCUUAUGCCAGCUACUGUGCAUCUCACCUGUUCUGCUCUCAUGGGACUGAACUGUUUAAUUUAUUUCCUACCAGGUUCACCUGUAUGCUCAAUGGUCCUCCAAAUUUAUUCUCAACUGAGCAGACAGAGUGACCUAUGAAAAUAUCAGAUAGGUCAUCUUCCUCCUUAAAGUUCUCCAGUGACUCCCAUUUACCUCAUGGUAAGUCGACCCACCCUUUCAGAUUUAUACUAUCAAGUCACACCCCAAUAAUUAUGUACGCUCUAAGCCUUCUCACAACACUCUCUCCUGAUUGUGACCUAUGUGUGUACCCCAAGAAGGACAAUCUUUAUGAAACAUGGUUUUCAUCACCUCAUUUCCUGGUGUAUAAUUCUUAUUUCACUAUAUUUCAAGUAAAGCAUCCCCAGGCUCUCGAAAGCCUUCACCAUCUACUCCCACCUCUGCAGAACAUCCCUUGCUCAUUCAUAUUUUUCAAGGCAUUCUUACACGUGCUCCAUAUCCAUCCCUAGUCUUGCUAAUAUCAAACCCCUUUCAGAAAGCUGUCCCAUUGAUCGAUGCCUGUCUUCGUCAUCCAUCCUACUUUGUUCCUGAAGCCUUCUUAGACUAGCCCAGCUCUCACUGAUCUACCUUGCAUUCUAACAUCGAUUGAACUUAGAUUUUUGUAUUACCUACGUUCACACAAAAAUUUCAGUGGACUUGGUCACAGAUUGUUUCACUUAAUUAGCAUGUUUUGGGCAGGGUUCAUAUCAUCUCCAUUGGCUUAUCCAUUGCAAUGUGAAUUGCAGGAAAGUGCUCAACAUAUGUUAGUUUAUUGACUUAUUCUAAGCAUAAUCUUGGCUUAUUAAUAGUUGUUGAUUUAUUAGUCAUGUUACAUGGGUUAUCAAUAAACUAGUAAAUAUUAAACAAUCCAGAGCAGGAUUAUUAUCAUUAAUUGAGCCCUUGGUAAGCACUUUGCAAAGGAUUUUGCAGAGGUUAGUCAUGUAAGGUUCACAAUAACCCUGAGUUAGACAUCAUCAUUCUUCGCAUUUCAGUUACAAGUAACCUGAAGUUCAAAGAAACUCCUUCAAGCUACAAAGUGAGGAAGAGGCAGAAUGAGUUUCAGAUAUAAAUAUUCUGGGUUUUCAGCCUAUCCACUGGGCUGAUUUCCCUCACAGUCAUUUUUUUAAACUGUAAAAUAUUAAGGACCUAGAUUACCAUCAUAAUUUCAACACAGAGUUGCCUACAUUCUUUGCUAAACAAAAAUAAUGUAUCUCCCCUUUUGCUGUAUCAGAGAACCACAGUGGCUUUCUACUCUGUUUUUGUCAGAUAUCAGCAAGAAAAAUAGGCGAAUAUUCAUCCAUUUUCUGAGUUGUGCCCACUUUAUAAAUAGCUGUUGGCAGACCAGGGGGCCCACAUGGUGAGUGCUUGGUGCUUUCAGUCAUUCCACCACUGGGACACAAAUUUCAAGGAUCUGCCAGUCUUACAAAUUAGUUUCAGAAAGACUUGUUUUCAAAUAGUUGAGUUUAAAAACAUUCUAAAUUACAUUUACUACAGUUUGUUUUAAAGCUUUUUCUCUGGCCUAUCUUUCUGGGUUGCAGCUUAAUUUUUCACUGUCUCAUUUUAAUUUCUCUCUUUUUCCCAGAUUUUAUCCUCUCAUUCAUUAUUCUUUGUCUCCUCUCCGUUGCUGGCUUUUCUUUCUGCAGCUGGGCUUUGGUUCGAAGGGGUGGACGCAGCUGCCCAACCAUUUUCACAUUCUUUACUGAUAUGAUUUUCUUGAGGUAAAACAUCAUUUAAGGAGUAUUACUCGACAAUUAAGUGUUUCUGUCUUCUUCAGAUUUUGUGUCUGAAAGUCUGCCAAUAAGACUAUCUGCAGUUGUUUGUAUUGGUUCAGAUUCCUUCCUGUUAGGCAUUAUUUCAUUUGUUCUGCGCUUGUUUGCCUUUAUGUAAUAUUUUGUUACAGCUUUAACUUCCUGUUUCUAUCAAAUCUUCACUGCUGACUUAGGGCGACUGUAAUUUUUAUUUUUUGGGAAGGGGCACCUCACUGAAUACAUUUUUAAUUGCUUUAUAACAUUACUUAUUUGAGACACAUGCACACAGACAUACACUCACAGGGUUAAGAGGAUAAGCAGAUAGAACUCCCGUUUGCUGGUUUACUCCUUAAUUGCUUGUAACAACCCUCAGCUAGUGCUGAUUCUAAGCGCCUAGAACUCAGUAGGGGUCUCCCACAUGGCAAAAGGACUCAACCACUUGAGUUGUCACCUGUUGCCUCAUAGGACGUGUAUUAGCAGAAAGAUGGAAUUGAAUGCUGGGAUUCAAACUCGGGCGCUUUAAUAUUGGAUACGGGUGUUCUACAACUAGCGUGCCAAAUGCCCAAUCCUUAACCUCAGUUUGAUAGGCUAUGUUUUUAUAGAAUUCUGGUGCAAGUUUAUAGCCAGAAGUUGGACUUCUUAUCCUUUGGGGGCUUUUCCUUGCCCCCUGAACUCUUGGUUUGAAACAUGGACAAUUUUUGUUGGUCUGAUUAUUUAAAGGCAAAAAAAAAAUUGUGUCCAUGAGGAUGUGAUUUGCAGAGGAAAACUUUAUAAUAUCUGGUCUUAGUAUUAUUUCUAAUGAGAAUAUCUCUUUAUCUUUCAAUAUUCUAGACUUUUUCACAGUAGCAUGUUAGCUGAGUUUUCCAUGAAUUCAUUAAAUGUUUAAAUAUCCAGUUUUUUGCCAAUUUAUUGGACACCCCUAUGUGUUAUGCCUAGUUUGUUUUACCUUCAGAUAAGCAGGGAUGUAUUUGGGUACUUGAAUCAAAUGCUGUUUCUUAAUAUUUACAGAGGGGGAAAGGAUGGGAUGAGUCCAAAGCUUAUAUCAACCUUGGGUACCACAACAGUCUUCCUCAGUCGUAGAGACUUCUGUCACGCCAGCAACCUUGGCUGCUGAAUUACUGGGAGGCUUGGGUCUCAGUAGAGGGCAGAAGUGGGUGCAUGGGGGUCUUGAGGAAGUAUGAAAUUAUCGCAAUACUUUGAUAAGUAGCUAUAUGUUAAUCUGGGGUGAGAGUGUGCUCUGGCUGAUUUAUUUUUAAGUCGAAUGCGAUCAUGCGUUCCAAUUUAUAUAGUGUGUCAGCUAGAUCCACAGGGAGUAUUGGGAUGGCAGUGAUUUUCCACAGAGGGUCCUAGAGAAAUGCUGUGUCUGCCCAAGUGUAGACUUCUAUUAGUUGGGCUUCUCAAUUCUAUGACAGUCAAAGUUUGCUUUUGUCUAUUGAAGGAAAAUGUUUUAUAUUUCAGAAUUCACUGAAAUUGUGAUUGAAUUUUGGCUGUACCAGUUAUUAACUCUAAUUUUGGGCAAAUUUUUAAUAACUUUGUUUUGCACCCUCCUUCCUUGUCAGUAAAAAGGAUCCAGUGAGCUCUAACUUUCCUUCAAGUUCUAACAGUCUCUAAUGAUGUUUCAGUACGAACAAAAAGACUUUUCCGCUGACAUUUAAUAGAAGAUUGAGUAAAAAUCAACUUAUCUUGGAGUCGUACAGGAAAAGUCAGAGUGACAAACUUCUGGGCAGAUAAACAAUCCCUGAAAACUACUUAUUUAUUACUUUCACUUUACAACACUUUGUUUGGAGACUGUUCUGGUUAAAAUAAUUUAUCUCCUUUGAUUUGUACGUAAUGGCAAAUAAUGAGCACAGGAAAUAAUGACUUUUUCUCUGCACUCUUAGAAUUCAGCUAUAUUUUGCAGCAUUUCUUCAGUGGGGGUGCAGUCAACACUGAAUUCUCUCUGCCUUUCGUGGAAGACAAGAUUUCCAGUGUUUAUCUCAAUUUGAAAAAUGUUGAACUUGGUAAAAGUUGUUUAUUAAGAUGGAAUCUGUCAUUUCCAGAACCAUGGCAGAACACAUUAUUUUGUACAUGAACAGCACCUAUGUAGUAAAUCAGAACUGUGGAUAUGUGGUAUAAACAGUCCUCACUCAGGCUAACUUGGGAAGCAAGAGAAAGAAAUUUCUUUUUAAACUUUAAAAAUUUCUCAGCCAUUCAUCUGGAUCAUACCCAAGAAUUCUCUUAAUUUUUGCCAUUUCCACGAAGCUAUGAAGCACCGCAACUAAAUAGUUUCGGUCAUAUGGUUCUACCUUCACACUGCAUUGCAAACAACAGCUUUAGUCCCUUCUGAGAUUUUUUUUUUUUUUUUGACAGGCAGAGUGGACAGUGAGAGAGAGAGAGAGACAGAGAGAAAGGUCUUCCUUUUUCCAUUGGUUCACCCUUGGCCACCGCGGCUGGCGCACCGCGGCCAGCGCACCGAGCUGAUCCAAAGCCAGGAGCCAGGUGCUUCUCCUGGUCUCCCAUUUGGGUGCAGGGCCCAAGGACUUGGGCCAUCCUCCACUGCCUUCCCAGGCCACAGCAGAGAGCUGGAGUGGAAGAGGAGCAGCAGGGACAGAAUCCGGUGCCCUGACCGGGACUAGAACCCGGUGUGCCGGUGCUGCAGGAGGAGGAUUAGCCUAUUGAGCCACGGGGUCAGCCCCCUCCUGAGAUUUUAAUAGUGCUCUUAUUCAGAAGCUAAAUCAUGAGCAUUCACUCAAAACUAAAUAUACUCCCUUAAGCCAAUGACCAAUAUUUUGCCUAUUCAGGAAAUAGUAGCAGUUACCAUGCUGUAGAUCCUUUGUAACACACAUGAUUUCAUGUUUACUUCCUCAAAUGGGGAAAAUGGCCUGAGACAAUGAGUGUCUUUUCUAGGAUUGAGGUCCAAUGUAUUAUUAUUAUUUUUUUUUACUUUGGGUAUAGACUUUGUUGGUUCCAAUUUAACUGGAGUGCAUAUGUUUAUUAAAGACUUGUACAGCCAAUUAGAGAGAGAAAAUGGAAACUAGAGCCAGAAACUAAAAGAAAGGGGACCACGAAACAAGGCAAUUCAGCCUGAUGACUUGGCUGUAAAUUUAUUCCCUUGUUCUUUCUUCUCAAAUACUCAGCACUUAAGAAAUAUUUAUUCAAGGCCUAAUAUUUCCUAGACAAUGUGCUCAAUUUUUGUCAUAUAAGAAAUGAAGGGAAAUAGAUCUUGUUCUCAAAGAAUUAAUCUUUUGUGAAUACAGCAAAGGUAUAAAUUAUUAUAAUAUAAUCUGUAUUGUAAAACUAGAGAAAUAUUUAUAUAUAUUACAGUACAGCAGUGAUGAUGAAAAUGUAUAUAGAAUUUAUGAAUGCCAGGUAAUCUUCUAAACAUUUUAUAUUCAAUCUUCAUAAUGAAACAAGCAUGAGGCCAGUAUACAACCAUCAUUCCCAUUUUACAGAUUGGAAACUGAGGUUAUGUCGGCAGUAUCCCUCAGUGGAUUUUGGGUCCAUUGGGAGGACUUCUCACAGAGGGGAGCCUGAAUUCUCUGGGAGAAGAAGUUGACUCACUCCUGAGUUAGUUAACAAGGAGCCGUGUCUGACACACUGAAUAUAGCAGGUCUUUCCUGAAUCAUGCCCCAUGGAAGGGCGUUUUCAGCCAGAACGUCCAAACUAUGACUUGUACUGCCAAAAAAAAGCUGCAGUGGGUGCCAGCCUUGGCAUCACAUUGCUCUUCCUAGUUAUGUGUAUGUCAUAAUCAGUCUCUGAUUUGUAAAGUUUAUUUCUCAGAGAGUUCACCAGAGGUCGGAUUUUCCAGCUUUCUCAUCUUAAUAGGUAGCAAAGCAGGAAGCAUUUACUCAGCAUUCCCUGUAUCAGAGGCCCAAGGAAGGAGAGGCCCAGAGCUGCACACCGGUCUCCAGGCCCACAGCCCUCAGCCAGGCAGCUUUGGGUCCCCACUGCUUCCUGACUGAGGAAGUCUGACAAACAUGCCCUGCGAGUUAGCCAGGAGAAAGAUCUUCAAGUUAGUGUAAUCUUUUGGGAGAGAAAUGUGCCCAUAUUCUCACGUGAGAAAUGACACAUGUACAAAUAUGAAUGAAUGCUUGUUAAUUACAGACAAUUUGGGGAAAAGUUGAUAAAAUUUUCAAUAUUGAGGGGAAAAUAAGUACAUUAUUUUUAUAAAAGUAAAUAAAUAUGCUCAUACAUAUCAUGCAGAAGCAGAUGUAUGAAAAACUGUACAAAUGUCUGUGUGUAAAUAUGUGUGUGUAUAUAUCUGGACACAUUACAGAUUAUAAACUAGCACUUUACUAGUAAUGGAACUAUGUAAUAAAAAUUAUCUUCUGUGCUUAGCAUGCAUUGUGUUCAUUAGAACAAAAUAGCAGAAUAACUCUGACGUAGAUUAGCAUUAGAUAGAAAAGAAUACACAUGAAAUAAAUUAGAAUUUCUCACUUUCUCCUCAUGAAUUUAUUAUUUUUUUUAAUUAACUGGUCCUUCUCAUCCACUUUUCAUCUAUCCCUUCCCUAUACUGGUUAACUCUUCCUCAGCUAAUGUUUUCCCUCAGGUCUUUAAAAAGCUAUUUAUUUAUUUUCAUUUUAUUUGAAAGGCUGAGAGAUAGACUCUUCCAUCUGCCUGCAACAGCUGGGUCUGGGCCACACUGAAGCCAGGAGCCAGGAACUUGGUCUGGGUCUGCCACAUGUGUGGCAGGGACCCAAGGACUUGAGCCAUCACCUGCUCCCUCCCAGGGUGUGAGAUAGCACGAUGCUGGAUGGGAAGUGGAACUGGAAUUCAAGGCAGGUCCUAUGAUAUGGGACACAGGUGUCCCAAGUGGCAUCUUCAGUGCUGCGCCAGAUGCCCGCCCUGUCCUUCAGGGUUUUUUUGAGGAUUAUUGCAGGAUUUUUUUUUUCCUUGACCUGACUGGUCUGCGCUAUCAUCAUCGUUUUCACACAUCAGAAAGGAACUGAGGCCUCAGACUCAGUGAAGUGCUUUGGCAGGCGCAUUGGGUUCCUUUCAGUUUCUUCCAGAGCAGGUCCCGGUGUGACAGAGCUCACACUGAGGCUGGGCCACAGGCAUCGGACUUGGCUCCCAGAGUGUCCUCCGAUAUUUAAAAAGCACGAGAUUUUUCACAAGAAGUUCCAGAUAUGGGGAUUCUCUUGAAAAACAGAUCUAACAAUGUAGAGCUUGAACUCCUUCCAGUGAGCAGCUGGAGCCAGCAGCCAUUGUCUUUUAUAAAUAGACACCGGUUAGCCAUGGCUCUCACUACUCCUUGUUUUUCCUUAUGCUUGGCUCAGAUCCCCUGCCUAAAUUUAUUUGCACUUUUGUUUGCUAUGUCUUUUUGGAUAAUCCCCAUUGUCAUCAUAUAUAAGGAUGGAAAUGAAAGAAUUGGUACAUGAGUGUUCUCUUUACCAUCCUUAGUAACAGCAUCUAGAUGACAAUUGACCUUCUGAUUUAGACUAUAUUUUUGUUGGGCUUCCCUAAAAAGAUGAGAGAGACACAGACAGAGAGACAGCAAAAACACCUAACAAAGACAUUUAUCACAGGAAUACAAUUGAUGUUGAGAAAACCACUAAUUGAAAGGAUUUGUUUUGCUGGUUUACAGCUCUAUCAAUGCCUGUACAAAAUUACUUCAUGUGUAUUUAAACAGUUCAAUAUUUAUUCAGUUUGCUGUUUUAAAGUAAAUAAUUGAGACUUUUAUUCCAACUGCUCCUGGAAAUUGGAGCAAGAAAAUAACGAAAUAUUAAAGGGAAACCAGCUUCACGAAUGUCUAGAAAUCAGAAAACAGAAAAGCAGAUUAACUGGGAAUGCUACAAGGGGGCAGUGAUUCUCCAGCCUGUUAGGACACGAGGCAUCAUCCAAUGUGCAAUUAAAAAACAAGACCUGUGAGCAGGCGAUUCGGGAGAACAAAAGCCUAUUAAAGCUCUCCUAAGAGUUCGGUUUCUUGCCAGAAGAGCCAUCUGUCAAGAGAUUACCGAGAAGGAAAUUUCUGCAGGAAUUUCCCCCUGGGACCAGAUGAAGUGCCAAGAAAAGGUGUGUAUGGCAUCAGGAGUGAGGACCGACUCAGAGUCCUGAACUUCUCACAGACAGAAAGAGAAGCAUCCACCCACUGGUGCUCAGGGAAGAGGCAGAGAGGGAAAUCUCUGUAUUGCUUCUGAUCCGAAAACCAAGGUCGUAUUGGAGUUUAUGAAAAUAAUGUCUUUUAAGAUCAAUGCCUGGAAGAUGAAUCGGAACAUUUGAGGAAAGUCACCGAGGAGGUGGAAAGGUUGCGGGCAUGAAGCACCCAAGCCCUGAGAAGAGAAUCCUCUCAUUAUGGAGGCUGAUCUGAAGAAUCUAUCAGCACAAAACUAAGACAUCAUAGUGGAUUCAGAGCCAAGCAGAUCAUAUCUAAAAUGAGGACAUUCCUGGCUUACAACAGACUCUCCUGCCAGAUGGACAAUGCACAAGGCAUUUGAAAUAUUUUCUUUCACAAAACAAAUAAACAAAAAUCAACCAGGGUUUUAUCAUCCUACCUACAAUGAAUGCAAAAAAGUCUGGUUAAACAGCUCAGAUUUAUGGUGGAGCUCCUGAGGCCUCUCCCAGUUAAAUAUUCUUUGCUUGUUUUGUGGAUUCCAGGAAAUCCACACCCUGAUCAACUGGAACAUUCAAGCCACAUCAAGAUGGAUGGGCUUUUGAGAAUGACCAAGAAAAUAGUCUCUGAUCACUUGAUUCUUAUAUUCAUCAAAGGAUGUUUGCUUUCAGAAGAAUUAUUAUGUUUCCAGCUUGCUUGCCUUGGGGAAUGUCAAUUAAGUCCAAAUUAUUUGAUGACAGAGAUUUUGCCAUUUUUAGAGACCGGCAUCAGGCUUAAGGAGAGAAGGUUUUUCUCUACAUCCUUUUGAAGGGUUUACUGAAUUCUACAUCACCAAGAACAUGGUCAUCUGGUUGUCAUCGUGAUUAAACAAAGGAAAGAUUGGGAAGCAUCUCAGUAGGCAACAAGCAGGAGAAUCAGCAGCUCUGGACCCACCCAGGCCACACAGGGUGAAGAAGACACUUCCACGAACUCAUUCACUCCCACACAGGACCAGACAGACAAGCAGAGGAGGAAACGACUUGCUCUCUCUCCUCUUCUGGAGAAAACAGCCAAGUUUUCUGAGACACUUUCAAAGGAGUUGUUUGGUUGAUGACUGAUGGCGUCAUAAAUAGUGACCACAGCCAGACUCUGUGGAAGGAAACAAAUAUUCACUGGUUGCUGGGGGGAGUUCCUGCCCAUGCCUCUAAGGUCAGCAGAAUUUAUCCCUGAAGGGUUAGUAUUUCUAAUCCUGUGAUUUUCUAAUCUUAUUGCUAUAAUGUUUAGGUGAGUUGAAUAUAUCCCAUUCUUUAUCUCUGUGAAAUCUCAUGUAUUUCCUGCAAAAGUCACUCCUGGUUGUUCCUACAACUUUGCUUCUUCAGUUCUUAAAAAUACACAAAAUUUAGAUCUGUUUGUAGUAGCAUGCGACGCUGUGUCCUCUACGGUGCCUCACGACAAAGCCAAUGACACAGUGACUGCACAUCCAGACCAUGAUUUCUUGCUUUCUAUUAACCCAACUUAUUAUUGCUUCAAAAACCAUGGUUUCCAUUGACUACAGAUUCAGCACACACAUAGUCACACUAAUGCAUGUGUUUAUAUGUGUGCGAAAUAGCUGCACAAUGAGUUAUUGAGUUGUACAUGGAAAAAAAAUGCUAGGCAGCUGCAAAUUACAAGGAUAUAAUGCCAUCAAGGGGUUUAAUAGUGACAUCAUAAAUCACCAGAGCAAGGUAUAAAUGGACUGUACUUCCCCACAACUGUAAGUUGCCAUUGAGGCUAUGAUUUUCAAAGUCGUCUGCUCUCCCAAACCCCAUUCCCUUAUCCAUGGAUAAUUUGUGUUAUUUUUUCCAUUUUCCCCACCUCUCUUUACUUUUCCUGACCAACUUCAAAUCUUCCUUAUAAACCCAGACAGAAUCUGGUUUCCCCUUGUGCUAUUAGAGCAGCUAUAUUUAAAUGUAACACCUGAUUGUCCCAAGUUGAAGUCUAACAACUCUAAAAAUCUUGGCAUUCUGGGCUAGGUGUCAAACUCAUGCAAUAUGACAGACAGGUGACAACACACCCAAGAAUUAAGAGAUUUUUUUUUCUUCUUGGAGAGCAGAGUGCACCAUGCUCCUAGCCCCUUUUCCUCUGAGACUAAGAAAUCUAAUUACAUACAAUAUCCCUAUAUGACUGCAAAUACAGAAAUGAUUUUACAGUUUUGCUUCUUAUUCACAUCUGAGGUUCAGAGAAUCCAAGUAAUAUUCUAAUUUAUUUCUUAUGUCCUAAAUGAUUCUCUUUUCUCUUUAAAGCUGUCUUACAGAGUAAUGUAUUAACAUAAAAUAAUAACUGGCCCAAACUUUUGUCCAAAUUUAAAUAUGUCCUAGCAAAGCCAGCCCCAUUCUAAUCGCUUUUAUGUGUCACUUUAAGGCUAACCUCCUGGCAGCUUUGCUUUGGGUCUUAAUUAGCCACUUAACUGCAAAUUGGUUGGCACCCUAGUCCUUUCAUUAGUUAUUACCCAAAUAGCAUCACCGACUUAGGAUAAAGAAAAGAAAGAUCCCACAUGUAGCAGAUCUUUCCAUCAUUAUUGCGCUUUAAUGCAAAGGGGGGAGGGUGUUCCUGACUCUAAUUAAGGCUGCGUUUCUAAUAGGCAAUUGGCAGAGUAUUUAACUCACUCUCAGUGAGGUGUCUUAAAGGAAAGACAAUCACUAUAAUGUGUGUACAGAGCUAAAGAAUUUACAAAACAUUUUCACCUACUUUAUUGCUUUUACACUGUGUCUGUUUUAGCCACGUAUUAAUCAAUGUGUUUUACUGGUUGCCAUGAUUUAAGAUGUAAAUUUCAUUUUAGUCCUUUUUCCACUUGCCUGCCUAUCCUCUAAGCCACUUCUUUAAAUUAACUAAGCCCAUCUCCAGUAUCCAAAAGAGAGUUAACAUCUGAAUAUUUUGUCACACUUCCAGAAAAUGGGCAGACUGAUAAAUACACCCCGUGGAGAGGUACUCAUUGGCAAAACAAUCCUAAGAGGUUACUGAGAAGAGAAGUCACCACCUUCAAAGACGACUUGAAUCACUUAUGAAAUAGAAUGAAAGAAUGCAGAAAGAGCCAGCGAGCUUGGCUCUGUGAACACAGAAAUAAACAUUUAAGGGAGAACAAGAAUGUAGAUACAGAUCGGAUCCAAAAAUUUGACAAAGGAUGAUGAGAAUUAGAAGGAAAUGUAAGUAGAAAAGACUUAAUUUGUCAAGUGUUUUAGCAGAGUAUCCGCAGUUGGUACUUUCACACAAUAUGAUAUGACACGCUUUUCUUUAUGGUAGAAAAGAGUGCAUCUUCAGUAGUCAACACUGUGUGUAUUUGUGUAUGUGAGUUUAACCUGUCCUUUUACUUUGGUUCCCUUAAUUUACCCUCUAACAACUUUUCCUUUUAUACCCCUUUCUACUCUGUAAUUUUGAGUGUCUAGGAAUUAUAUUUGGUUAUGUAAACUCGGGCUUUUCUCUCCUUCUGAGAUAGUGUAGUUGAGACUUUGCACAUCCUAAAUUGUCUCUGUGCAUCAUAGCUCCUGGAACUGAGAGUCAAAUCCACAGGCCAACCAAGAGUAGAAAUUCUUCAGACUUUGAAAACUUGGAAAUGGUGAAUUAUGCUUAUGAGAUUCAUUUCUAGACUGUACCCGAGCUUAUAAAAUAUUCGUAUUUACAGUGUCUCAGAACAACAAACACAGCCUGCAGGCAGCUGCCUCAUCAGAGACUGGGCCACAGUGAUCUCAGACAUUUGUCUAUUUAUUGUGGAUUGGAUUUCUUGGCAAAUGAUUCAAUAAGAAAGACAAGCACAGCAGCCCUGCACUAGGCUUGGUGUUGCCCAAUACUAUGUUUCAUGUUGUGAUGAAAUUUGCCCCUUACGGUCAUCCCUGAACACUUAAUACUUCUACUUGGUAAGCCUGUGGUCUUUAAGUGGAAGUGUGAAAAAUAGUAAUGUGGAACCCACAGCAAAUGAAGUCAAGACUUUGAUUAAAUGCAAAAUAAGAGGUGUUUUGAAGAAAACACAGAGAUUUUUUUUUUCUUUUUUGGCCAAUAUGGGCUUUCUCCGAUUAAAUCCCCAAAGGAACAGAUGUAUGUUUAUAGGAAAAAAUUUGAAAGAAAAAUCAUUAGGAAUUAUUUUGCUUUGGCUACUUAACACAAAAUUGUUUCAGUGAAAUAUGAGUUUUUAACACUGGCAACACUAGAGUGUUUUUAUUCGCCCAUAUGAAGAACACCUGUUGUAAGUAGAUUGUGAAUUUGAAUUUUCACAGUGAGUUCUUGUCCCUACAUGAAAAUAGAAUAAUUUGAAAAGGAGCAUGAUGAUAAUGCAGUUGCAGUGAAUGAACCUGCUACUAAAGGGUCUCAUUUUGUCUACAUCACACAAACAAAUCAAGCACUUUGCCUUGGGUCUUUCACAUAGUAGGUAUUGAAUAAAAUGUUGGAGCAACCAAAAUAUGUGAAGAAAACUAAGUGUACUAAGGGAGUCUUUCUGGCUAAUGCUGCAUGGUCCCAUCUUUGCCAUCCAAUAUUUUAUCUCCUUCAAAAGGAAAAAUAUUUUAUUUUUGCUUAACUACCAGAAUAAUUCCACAGUGCAGCUGCUUGCCUACAAACCACUUUGGAUAAAGGAGUGCCACCUGAAAUUAGUGUGUGGCCAACAUCGUAAAACAAAACAAAUAAGAAUGUUGGGAGUGUCUCAACUGUUCUUUAGGACUCCCAUAUGCUAGGCAGUACUCCAUCUCUGACCCUCCAGAUUGAGUUUAUCCUGGCCACAAAAUACAUUCCAGAGUUUUCCUAAUUUCCUCACUGGCAGGCUCAUCUGGAGGAGCAGCCACAACAGUGAGUCCAGGUCAUGGUUCAGGACCACAGUGCCUGGAGUCUCUUGAGAGUUGUAAUUUUUAUAUCAGAAUGGAAGUUAUUCAGGGUGGGAUCCUCCCCCAACUCCCAGGGGAUUGAGACCUAGAUGGGUGGAAGUAGAGGAAACUGUUUGAUAGGAUUCAAAAAAAGCAUUGACAUUUUCAUGAGGGAAAUUCCAUCAUAACAGGAGGUCACAACAUUCUUGUUUUAAACAAUUUCUAUUUAUUUUAUUCUCUAAAUUCGAAACCUGCCUCCUAUGAGCAGCCCUUAAAAAGCAAAGCAAAAUAAGUGGCUGGCACUGAGAGGUGUGGCAGAAAGAGAAAAGUAAGUGUCAAAGUAUGUCAAGUUCACAGAAUAGAAAAAUGGGUAAAUCUCACCUCUAAUUGUGUUUAAUUUGUUUUUUGACACCAUAUUUUGAAUGGUAUUGAAAAUGCAAUGAAUAAUAUAAUAUUAAUUAAAUAAGCCUUCUGUGUGCUCUUCUGCAUAAUUUGUAAGACUGGGUUUAUAGAAAUGAUAUGUAUAAAUUGACUAGCAAGUAGAAUGACUAUUUCCAAAGUAAUGAAAAUUGGAAGAAUGUUAUGACUUUGUGAUUCUAUUUUUAUCACAGAUGAACUAGCAGAUUUCCUAUAAAUGACUCAUUCAUGAUUAACAGAGAAAACAGAACUUGGUUUGGUUCUGUUAAGAGUAGUGAUAUAUGGGUUUUUAUUGUAUUACGACUGUGUUUCACAAGAUCAGACAAGCAGGCUUAUCCGCUACUGUAUUUCUAGAACCUAGAAGAGUCUCUGACAGAUAUUAAGCAUUAAAUUACUUGCUGAAUAAAUACAUUUAAGUCAAUUUCCUUGACCAAAGGAACAAAUUACAAUUCUAAACCAAACUUAAAUGAAUCACAAAAACAAGAACCCCAAGGUAGAUCUGGAUCACAGAUAGUUGAAUGUCUUAGCAAAUUCCCCAGUGAUUUGGGAAUAAUCUAAUUUUAGUAACUACCACUACAUACAACUUGGUAACCUGCACAGUUGGCUCUGAAUGUUUACAUGCCCGGUAUCUGCCAGUAAAAUCAUUAAAAUGUGUACUGAACUUG
This is a non-coding RNA of Oryctolagus cuniculus (rabbit), 14496 nucleotides long. The record is from RefSeq and is a predicted model, not a curated record. NCBI's taxonomy places the organism in Eukaryota, Metazoa, Chordata, Mammalia, Lagomorpha, Leporidae.